UUCCCACAAGCUCCCAGAGUCUGGUAGGAGU
This 31-nucleotide non-coding RNA is filed under the name Rattus norvegicus (Norway rat). Lineage: Eukaryota; Metazoa; Chordata; Mammalia; Rodentia; Muridae. The record is from RNAcentral.